AGUGAACGCUGGCGGCAGGCCUAACACAUGCAAGUCGAACGGCAGCACAAGAGAGCUUGCUCUCUGGGUGGCGAGUGGCGGACGGGUGAGGAAUGCAUCGGAAUCUGCCCAUUUGUGGGGGAUAACCUCGGGAAACCGGGACUAAUACCGCAUACGACCUGCGGGUGAAAGCAGGGGAUCUUCGGACCUUGCGCAGAUGGAUGAGCCGAUGCCGGAUUAGCUAGUUGGAGGGGUAAAGGCCCACCAAGGCGACGAUCCGUAGCUGGUCUGAGAGGAUGAUCAGCCACACUGGGACUGAGACACGGCCCAGACUCCUACGGGAGGCAGCAGUGGGGAAUAUUGGACAAUGGGCGCAAGCCUGAUCCAGCCAUGCCGCGUGUGUGAAGAAGGCCUUCGGGUUGUAAAGCACUUUUGUUGGGAAAGAAAAGCAGCCGGUUAAUACCCGGUUGUCAUGACGGUACCCAAAGAAUAAGCACCGGCUAACUUCGUG
Molecule: ribosomal RNA, 490 nt
Filed under: uncultured bacterium
Lineage: Bacteria
Description: partial 16S ribosomal RNA
Rfam family: Bacterial small subunit ribosomal RNA
Source: RNAcentral